RNAcentral lists this long non-coding RNA (1415 nucleotides) under Linum usitatissimum (flax). Its description in RNAcentral is "long non-coding RNA (LUSI_LNC008073)". Lineage: Eukaryota; Viridiplantae; Streptophyta; Magnoliopsida; Malpighiales; Linaceae. The record is from RNAcentral.
AAGAGUUGAAACUCAGACGAAUAUCUUUUUUCUCAUAUAUUUAUUCUUUUGGGUACGUAGGAUUGCAAAAGGAGGCGGCAAAUCCCACCGUGCGGUGCCUCGAAAACCACCAAUAACGAGCUUUACUUCACUCAGCACUUCCCUUCUGGUAGACGUGCUGCCCUGAUUUGCAACUCCUCCGGCGAUAAAAUCCACCGCCAUGUUUAUUCCCCUCGUCAGAAUCGUCGUAAUAAUUGUCCCUUCCAGCGCAGGGUCAGUUUCUUUUUCUCCCGUAUUUUCCUUUCCUAAAUUGUUAUAAUUCUUAAAUCGUAUAUUUAUUUGUCAAGAAGGUAGUUAAAAUCACGAUGAAAUGAAUCGAUUUUACAGACAAAUAAAAUAUAGUUUCAUAAUUCUCGAAAAUAUGAGAUAAAAAAACUCGAGUCAUUCUCUUGCCCACAAAUCUCCGACGAAAGUACUGAGCUAUCUUUUUGAAGAAGACAAUAAACUGAUUUUAUGCUACUUUUAUUUGAAUUAUACUUGAAUUAAUUAUGACUUAUAGUAAACCAUCAAAAUCUCUAAUCAUUAAGAAUGAACAAAUAGCUUAAAAAAAAGAAUGAACAAAUAAUGUUAAAACUUUCUUUUUCCGGAGCCGAACCGAUUGAGCAGAUAAGAUAAUUUCCACUUUGAAAGUCGAAUCUUAAAAUAUAAAAAAAAUUAUUGAUUCUAUAGCAUUUAAUUUUAGUUGAGAUUUUAUAUAAUUUCACAAUCUAUUAAUUCUUUUUGUUGUAUCCAAAAUGGUUAGACAUCAAUAAAAUUGUAAAAUUUUGAUAAUAAAACACACUGCUUCUUCUGGUUUCAGCAGGCGAGAUUGAGGGGAAAACGGGAAGCCAACGUGUCACAAAAGCCGCGGAAGCAGCAGCAUUAUCAUCACCAUCAAGGCAGCAGAGUUGGUGACUUGGCUGAUCCGUUGCUGCCACGUAGGCAGCAGUCGCCAUGUCAGCCGAAGAAGCAGAAGCAUCCAACCGGCUACGGCGUCGUUUCGCUCGAACCGUCUCCUCGUCGCAAGGAGGCUGUGGACGAGGAUCUAUACAAAAUCCCAGAUGAGCUUCUAAUCCCCUCUUCCAGAAGGGUAUGAUCGUAAUCUACUAAAUCAGAUUGUUUUACCCUGUUUUUUAAUUUCUUUCUGGUGUGGAGAUUUGUAUUGAUGAUUCCGCUGUUGUUUUUGCUUUUGCAGAAGAAAUUGCGAGGAUUACUGUCAUGCUUUCUACCAUUUUCUCGUAGUUCUUGAUUAAUGGGAACGUCUGUUUAGUAUUGCACAAUGUGGGAUUUGACUUCUGUAUCGAGUUAUUUGUGUGACUGAUCACAUAUAUGAUAAUAAACAGUUAUCGGUGUAACUGAUCAAAUACAAUGAUGACCAGUUAUUAAGUUGUGAACUA